AGUGAACGCUGGCGGUAGGCCUAACACAUGCAAGUAGAACGGCAGCACAGUAAGAGCUUGCUCUUACGGGUGGCGAGUGGCGGACGGGUGAGGAAUACAUCGGAAUCUACUUUUUCGUGGGGGAUAACGUAGGGAAACUUACGCUAAUACCGCAUACGACCUACGGGUGAAAGCAGGGGAUCUUCGGACCUUGCGCGAUUGAAUGAGCCGAUGUCGGAUUAGCUAGUUGGUGGGGUAAAGGCCCACCAAGGCGACGAUCCGUAGCUGGUCUGAGAGGAUGAUCAGCCACACUGGAACUGAGACACGGUCCAGACUCCUACGGGAGGCAGCAGUGGGGAAUAUUGGACAAUGGGCGCAAGCCUGAUCCAGCCAUACCGCGUGGGUGAAGAAGGCCUUCGGGUUGUAAAGCCCUUUUGUUGGGAAAGAAAAGCAGCAGGUUAAUACCCCGCUGUUCUGACGGUACCCAAAGAAUAAGCACCGGCUAACUUCGUG
Molecule: ribosomal RNA, 492 nt
Filed under: uncultured bacterium
Lineage: Bacteria
Description: partial 16S ribosomal RNA
Rfam family: Bacterial small subunit ribosomal RNA
Source: RNAcentral